GGGGGGGUGAAAUGACUGCUUGUCUUCCUGUGGCUUAUUUCGUAUCUGAAUAUUCCGAGAAAAGAUUCUUCAAAUCAACCUUACAGCCAAAGCGUAAAAAAUGUGGCGAUAUCUACAACAUUUUGACAAUUCAAUAAGUAUGUGGAGUGGGAAGAUUAUGUGCUGCUAUUUUUGAAAUGAUAAUUUUAGCUGAGCACUACAUAAUUUACAGUAGCGGAUCUAGUGGGUGGGUUUUAUUUGAACGUUAUCAACCAAAAAUUAUCAGCAUAAAAUUUGCUCUUUUGCGGUCUUCGAUUCACCUCCCUCUUUGAAAGAAUUUUCUGGAUCCGCCACCGAUUUGUUAUCAAGAACUACAACUCAUUUCAUGUUCAUUUAUACCACUAAAACUCUACCAGAGUUGUCUUUCUCUAAGAAGCAGAAGACACUUGCUGUGAAAACGGAAAUGGAUGUUGAAUUCUGAAGAAAAGCUUAUUUUAGUGAUCUUUGCAGAAUGUUGUCCACUAAGCUAAUGAUGGGGAUUGUAGCACUACCCUGCACACAGACAUGGAAUUGAUCUGCCUAGUCCAUUAUCAGAAGAGUGACCAGGACUGUUCCUCCCAUCAGAGAAGUUUCUUGAGAAGCAUUACAAGGGACUUGUCUGAAUGGGCAGAAGAAAUGUUUUAACUGACUAUCCCAUCAUUGUCAGCUGUUGGAGACUGAACAAUUUACUGAAAUCAGUGCUGGGGUGUAGCAGUCAGUGGGUGUCCUCAUUUGCCCCAAGAAGAGUCAGAGAAGUAUUCAUUUUUACUGUAAAAAGUUUAGUUCAUGUAAAGAGCAUGAAGGCAGAUUUUACAGUUAUCUCCCUUAGACUAUGUAAAUUAUAAUACAGCACUUGCUAAUGAUGUUAUUUUACAUAUUAAAUGUUGUGUGAAUGUUUUCAAUUUGGUUGGUAGUCAAAGACAUGAGUUAUAGCUGCCUGUAUUGUACCAGUUUACCUACAUAAUUAAACAUAGAUUACAUGCACCUGACUCUCCAGGACAUGUUAUAUACCUGUCUGUCUUUAGAUGGGACGUAUUAUGGUACAGCAAUGUCUGCAUGUCUAUCUUUAGAUGGGAUGUAUUAUGGUACGGUAAUGUCUGUAUGUCCGUCUGUAGAUGGGACAUAUUGUGAUACAGUAAUGUAUGUCUGUCUGUCUGUAGAUGGGACGUAUUAUGGUACAGCAAUGUCUGUAUGUCUGUCUGUAGAUGAGACAUACCAUAGUACAACAAUAUAUCUAUGUCUGUCUGUACUCUGUAGAUGGGAAGUAUUAUGAUACAGCAAUGUCUGUAUGUCUGUCUGUAGAUGGGACGUAUUAUGGUACAACAAUAUCUUUAUGUCUGUCUGUAGAUGGGACGUAUUAUGAUACAACAAUGUCUGUCUGUAGAUGGGAUGUAUUAUGGUACAAAAUGUCUGUCUGUAGAUGGGCAGUGUUAUGGUACAACAAUGUCUGUAUGUCUCUCUGUAGAUGGGACGUAUUAUGGUACAACAAUGUCUGUAUGUCUGUCUGUAGAUGGGAUGUAUUAUGGUACGGUAAUGUCUGUAUGUUCGUCUGUAGAUGGGACAUAUUGUGAUACAGCAAUGUCUGUAUGUCUGUCUGUAGAUGGGACGUAUUAUGGUACAACAAUAUCUGUAUGUCUGUCUGUAGAUGGGCAGUGUUAUGGUACAGAAAUGCCUGUACAUCCGUCUGUAGAUAGAUUGUAUUAUGGUACAGCAAUAUCUCCAUAUACGUCUGUAGAUGGGGUGUAUUAUGGAACAAUGUCUGUAGGUGGGACGUAUUAUGGUAUAUUAAUGUAUGUCUGUCUGUAGACGGUACAUCAAUGUCUGUAAGUCCGUUUGUCGGUGGGACGUAUCACUGUACAGUAAUGUAUGUCUGUCUGUCUGUCUUAAGAUGGUAUGCAUUGUCCAUCAUCAGUGGCCUCGUGGCUAGCCUGUCAGACUCUUGACCAAAAGGUCGUGGGUUCGAAUCCUGGCCGCGGCAGAGCCGACGUUGUGUCCCUGGGAAAGGCAAUUUACAUGAAUUUCCUCACUCCACCCAAGUGUAAAAGGGGUACCUGGCUAUAGACAGUGAAAGAUAUUGUUAGAAUGUUAGUGCUUUAGCGCCUGUAACAACAGCUUGCACUGUAUGCUUCACAGGAAGCUGAGAAAGUUCUAGGUUGAUAUAAGAUCUGCCGGGGUGAUAAUGUAUUGUGAAGCGGUUUUAGCAGCUGGAAAAAGCGCUAUGUUAUGUAAUUUGAGUGUGUGAGUUUUGAGUGCUAGUGAGCAUGUAGAGUGUGAAUGGUUUUGUUUGUGUCCUUUCUGUGUGAAUCAAGUUAUUUCUUGUUUGUGUUUCUUUUCCAUAUGUCAAUAUUCAGUUUGAAAAUGAGGAGUUUUUCCUAUCUCGAGUCAAAAUUAUGACAACCGAUAAGACCAGUGAGUCUCUUGUUUAGAUUGAUUGAUUGUAUCUUGCUUAACGUCUCGCUCGAGAAUUGUUCACUCAUAUGGAGACGUCACCAAGACUGAUAAAGGGCUUCAAAUUUAGGACUAUGCUCGGUGCCAAUGGCCAUUGAGCAGUGAGGGUUAUUUAGCGUGUCACACCUACUGUGACACGAUACAUCUGUUUUUAAGGUAAUCUCCGAGGACCUGUGACAUCCACACCUGAUGGUUUGGCGAUGGAACUGUCACUACCUAUUUUAAUGACUUAGGUCUGUCACAGUCGGGAUUCGAACCCCGGCCCUUCGCAUGCUGGGCGAACGCUCUUAACUUCUCGGCCACCGCGACAAAAUUCUUGGGGAUUUUAAUUUGCUGAAACUUUCAUUUACAUGUACUAGUACCUGUCUGAUUUCUGGCCAUUCCAGCACUCAUUCUCAGUUUGGUUUUUCAGCUCCCUGGGCCUCAUGAGAUUGUGACACCGUGCAGUAGGAGCAGUUUCUACUGGUAUCUCUUAAAAGCAGACAGAGAUUUUCUUAUCAUCUGAUCCAUUUCUGGAGACAAACUUUUGUAUGGAGCUGGGUAGCAGUUACUUGAGAUGUCCGGCUGAUGGAUGAAGAUAGUUUCCCUGAGACUCUAACAUUUUGUAGAACUUGGAUAGCUCUACUCAGUAUUGCUGUAGAAAAUGUCAGGACGGUGGAGAUUUAGAUAAGUGGUGUGAUGUUAUUGAUGGUAAACAGAAGACUGUGACCUUGAAUCUGAAGAUCUGUGAUGAAGACUGGACGUUUGGGGUCACUCUCUGUUACAGUACUACAAAUCUAACAGUGCCACACUCAGUCACAAAGAGGUUGUCUCUGAUGUCCACACAUAAACCGUAUGGACAGCGUAAAUCACAGUGAAUGUAACGGAGGAACUGUCCGUCCUGAUCUAGGAUGUGGAUACGGUGAUUGCCACAGUCUGCUGUCAGGAUGUGACUCUGGCUGUCUGUAGUGAUGCCGCGUGGAUCAAAUGAUUGCUUGGUAUUAGAGGGAUGACCAGUGUAUCUAAAUCGGAGUUUUCCUGACUGAUUGACCACCACUACUGCUCUAAUGUCAGCCACACAGAUAUCCAGGUUCUUGUUCUCACUGAGGUAUUUACUGUAUUUAUAGCUAUAUGAUGGAUGGAAAGCGUAACCACCAGAUGAGUAGAGAGGACGACCCUGAUCAUCAAACUGAAUGCUUUGUUUCUCUGUGGAGCCGGAGUAACGCACGACUUUGUAUUGUUUGUAAUCAUCACUGUCCAUGGUAACCAGGAGAUCGUUAGCCGCGGUACAGCAGACAUAGCGAGGUCUCCACCCCUGUAGUGUGAUCACGAAUGAGUUGAGUGGAAUAAUGAACCUCCAGAUGUCUAUGUACACGUGUAUGAAUAAACUGUUGUACUCGCGCGUGCGAGCUUAUCCUAUA
Long non-coding RNA from Ostrea edulis (European flat oyster), 3866 nucleotides. RefSeq lists it as uncharacterized. The transcript has 7 exons. NCBI's taxonomy places the organism in Eukaryota, Metazoa, Mollusca, Bivalvia, Ostreida, Ostreidae. The record is from RefSeq and is a predicted model, not a curated record.